GUCUUGCCAACGAUGUUCCUGAAGCAGAGAGGAGGUGAUGGUGUGGAAACUGAAGUGCUUGAGGAAUGGUGUCAAGGAAGCUGAGCAGCCACCCACCUGGACAAUAACUUAUCCUACAUGUCGCCUGCUGGCAGGAGAGCAAAAGGGUGUGGAGACAGUUGCCCGAUUCAUCGAGGAAGAAGGUUCUCAGUUUGGUAUACACACCCGUGCCGCUGCUUUGUCAGCCUUAGCCUGUAGACGGCAAAGGCGAGUCGCACUGUAUCGAAGGGACCUGGUCACCCUUUUUCACAAAUGCAUGGAAAAGAAGCCCAAAUCAGUCAGAGAGGAAAAGUCUGAAGUAAGGCCAUUUUCUUGACUAUCUAGUUAUCUCUAUGAGUGGGGUAUGGUUGGGUCUGGGGGGUCUGUCUCUCAGAAACCCCUGGAGAGGGAGGUGGGCUAGAGGCAUUGGUGUGGCCCUCAGAUAAUCUGGGUU
This 472-nucleotide long non-coding RNA is filed under the name Capra hircus (goat). Its description in RNAcentral is "lncRNA (ENSCHIG00000006966.1)". Lineage: Eukaryota; Metazoa; Chordata; Mammalia; Artiodactyla; Bovidae. The record is from RNAcentral.